RNAcentral lists this ribosomal RNA (253 nucleotides) under uncultured bacterium. Its description in RNAcentral is "partial 16S ribosomal RNA". It matches the Rfam family "Bacterial small subunit ribosomal RNA", at positions 524 to 776 of the family's 1533-position model. The record is from RNAcentral.
UACGUAGGGUGCAAGCGUUGUCCGGAAUUAUUGGGCGUAAAGAGCUCGUAGGCGGUUCGUCGCGUCGGCUGUGAAAACCCGGAGCUCAACUCCGGGCCUGCAGUCGAUACGGGCGGACUUGAGUGUUGCAGGGGAGACUGGAAUUCCUGGUGUAGCGGUGAAAUGCGCAGAUAUCAGGAGGAACACCGGUGGCGAAGGCGGGACUCUGGGCCGAUACUGACGCUGAGGAGCGAAAGCGUGGGGAGCGAACAGG